Molecule: long non-coding RNA, 396 nt
Organism: Manduca sexta (tobacco hornworm)
Lineage: Eukaryota; Metazoa; Arthropoda; Insecta; Lepidoptera; Sphingidae
Exons: 2
Source: RefSeq, a predicted model, not a curated record
AAGUAGGUGUUAAUUUACAAUACCAUGGUUAAUAUUUAACACCCUGUCUGGAUAUUGAUAUGACUAAUCUUUGCAAUAGGUGCAAUAUUCUCUAAAAACAUUCAGCUGGUGGAAUUAACAUACUGUCUAUUACAAUCAAAGAAACUGCAUAAGUUUGAAGUUGCAAGUUUAGCAAACCUUUGUCCAGAAAGCGCCAGAAGAAGCCAAGGCCUUAAUACCAUCGUUAGAAGGCAGAUUUGAGGAUGAAGAACUAAGAAUUUUACUAGAUGAUAUACAAACAAAAGCGUAGUUUACAAUAUUAAAAUCCUUUACAGACAUAUUUACUACUUAAUCCUUGUAAAAUUUUAUGACUGAAUAAAAUGUAUUUAAAACUCACAAAAAGUAUAUUCAUCUAUC